ACGAACGCUGGCGGCGUGCUUCACACAUGCCAGUCGCACGGAAAGGCCCUGCUUUUGUGGGGUGCUCGAGUGGCGAACGGGUGAGUAACACGUGAGUAACCUGCCCUUGACUUUGGGAUAACUUCAGGAAACUGGGGCUAAUACCGGAUAGGAGCUCCUGCUGCAUGGUGGGGGUUGGAAAGUUUCGGCGGUUGGGGAUGGACUCGCGGCUUAUCAGCUUGUUGGUGGGGUAGUGGCUUACCAAGGCUUUGACGGGUAGCCGGCCUGAGAGGGUGACCGGCCACAUUGGGACUGAGAUACGGCCCAGACUCCUACGGGAGGCAGCAGUGGGGAAUAUUGCACCAUGGGCGGAAGCCUGAUGCAGCAACGCCGCGUGCGGGAUGACCGCCUUCGGGUUGUAAACCGCUUUCGCCUGUGACGAAGCGUGAGUGACGGUAAUGGGUAAAGAAGCACCGGCUAACUACGUG
RNAcentral lists this ribosomal RNA (467 nucleotides) under uncultured bacterium. RNAcentral describes it as "partial 16S ribosomal RNA". It matches the Rfam family "Bacterial small subunit ribosomal RNA", at positions 29 to 507 of the family's 1533-position model. The record is from RNAcentral.